GAAAAAAAAAAAAACGUUUUAUCGGUGGCUGCUCAGAGAAAAUAGCCACAUGUUGAGUCCGUAGGGGCAUUACACUGGUUUGGCGACUUUGUUUCAUAUAAGAUCGCGAACAGUCGCUUUCUUGGACUGGACCGGGUGAAUUAGUUAAAGGGGAGGAAUGAGCCAGAAUGCUCAGGGAUGGCUGAAUGGAGGGAAACACCACUGUGGGGCUGUUUUUAAUGAAUGUUAAAAUGGCUAAAAUGGUUUAGCAUGAUAUGGCCGCUUUAAGAGUCCCUGUAAAGUCAGAAAAAAUGUCGUGUCACAUCACAGAUGUGUUGUGUAAACAGUAUAUCAGACUUCAAACCUGAGUACUGGUAGAUGAAGUCAAAAGCACUCCGCCACUUUGAAGAAGACGUAACAUAGGCUCCUUUGGUUAUUGGCCGAUAUGCUUUUAGCUAUGUUAGCAUUAAUAGCAUUGUUAGCGGUAGCUUAUUUUUAAUAAACAAAAACUUUUUGCUGCUGUGAUAGAGAACCGUGUCAUUCCCUGUCACGCUUUCGUCUGCGUUAGCAUUGAGCACAAUUAGCAAUAGCAUUUUCACUCACACAAGUUUUGAGUUUUGUUAAAUACUAUACACCAAAAAUUAAGACUACAUGCCUCUAAAGCCCUGACAGAGCCGUCUCGGGUUAUAGGCGUUAUGUUUUUGGCUACUAAGGAUUGUUUGUCACAACUGUAAAAAUAAGUCGUGCAAUUUAAAUCAAAAUUAAAAUAAAGUAAAACUACUGUCCUGACAAGACACCCUGACAACGUUGCAUUACUCAAUUAACAUUACUUGGAAUAAAGUACACCAAAAAUAAAGCAAAAUUGAGCUGAGCCCUUCCUGUCUCGCAGCAAAAGCAAAAUUCUACAUCCUGUUCUGUGGUUACCAUUUCACUUACACCACUUUAGAGGUUGCACUCUACUUCUGUUUUGUUUUUGUCUGGGUUUUUUGUGUGUGUAGAAUCAUGACUCAGGACAAAUGGCCUUUGUCCUCUGUAUUUGAUUAAAGAUUUUGUUUUA
Long non-coding RNA from Hippocampus zosterae (dwarf seahorse), 1036 nucleotides. RefSeq lists it as uncharacterized. The transcript is spliced from 2 exons. The record is from RefSeq and is a predicted model, not a curated record. Lineage: Eukaryota; Metazoa; Chordata; Actinopteri; Syngnathiformes; Syngnathidae.